This 484-nucleotide ribosomal RNA is filed under the name uncultured bacterium. RNAcentral describes it as "partial 16S ribosomal RNA". It matches the Rfam family "Bacterial small subunit ribosomal RNA", at positions 30 to 507 of the family's 1533-position model. The record is from RNAcentral.
AUUGAACGCUGGCGGCAGGCCUAACACAUGCAAGUCGAGCGGAUGAAGGGAGCUUGCUCCUGGAUUCAGCGGCGGACGGGUGAGUAAUGCCUAGGAAUCUGCCUGGUAGUGGGGGAUAACGUCCGGAAACGGGCGCUAAUACCGCAUACGUCCUGAGGGAGAAAGUGGGGGACCUUCGGACCUCACGCUAUCAGAUGAGCCUAGGUCGGAUUAGCUAGUUGGUGGGGUAAAGGCCUACCAAGGCGACGAUCCGUAACUGGUCUGAGGGGAUGAUCAGUCACACUGGAACUGAGACACGGUCCAGACUCCUACGGGAGGCAGCAGUGGGGAAUAUUGGACAAUGGGCGAAAGCCUGAUCCAGCCAUGCCGCGUGUGUGAAGAAGGUCUUCGGAUUGUAAAGCACUUUAAGUUGGGAGGAAGGGCAGUAAGUUAAUACCUUGCUGUUUUGACGUUACCAACAGAAUAAGCACCGGCUAACUUCGUG